UUACGGACAUAUCACGUUGAAACACCGAUUCCAGUACGAUUACUGAAGUUAAGCAACGUUGAACAUGUUAAGUACCUAGAUGGGUGACCGCUUGGGAAUGCAAGGUGCUGUGA
This is a non-coding RNA of Acanthosepion pharaonis, 113 nucleotides long. The record is from the annotation of a GenBank genome assembly. Lineage: Eukaryota; Metazoa; Mollusca; Cephalopoda; Sepiida; Sepiidae.